AGCCACUACACAGACGAUCUCUUUCUACCCAAUUCUGGGGUUUCACAAUACAUCUUUUUUUUGUGUGGACUCAAGAAUGCACUAUACUACCAAUGCCAGAAUGUCAAUCAAUCUAAAUUCUCCCAGACCAUAAGUUAAUCAUUGAAAUUCAUCUAACUAUAACAAGAAUUCUUAAAGGGGAAAGACACACAAAAUUGUGUCCUAACUAACCAACAUGCAUAUGGUAAUAUUUAAGAUAAUAUUUAAAAUAUACUAUGUGGAGGCUAAUAAAAUAAUACACAGGACAGAAUAUUUUUUUUAAGUUGCACAAAUUUAACCACGACACAAUGGCAACCCCAAUGUUUCUAGACUUAAGCAGUGGUUUUCAGUUCUGUUGUUAUAACCUGUUCAUUCUUUCAAUAUUUUUAAAUUGUGCUAUUAUUUAAGAUUUUGAUAAUAAGAAACAAAGAGGAUUGGAGUUCCUGUCAUGGCUCAGUGGUUAAAGAGCCCAACUAGUAUCCAUGAGGAUGUGGGUUCAAUCUCUGACCUCACUCAGUGGGUUAAGGAUCCAGUGUUGCCGUGAGGUGCUGUGUAGAUUGCAGACAUGGCUCAGAGCCCAUGUUGCUGUGGCUGUGGUGUAGGCUGACAGCUGUAGCUCCGAUUCGACCCCUGGGAACCUCCAUAUGCCACAGGUGUGGCCCUAAAAACCAAAGAAAAGAAAAGAGUCAUGUACAGAGGUCACCCAACACAUGGAGGUAAGUACACCAAACACAUCCAUGUUCUAUGAGCAUAUAUUCUGGCAUAAUAACAGCAUGACGGGCACUGACAUCUGUUUAAAAGAACAUAUUUAUCUUCUGCCAUAUUACAAACCAAAUUCCAAAAUUUGACUCGACCUUAAAAGAAUCUGGGUAUGUUUACCAUGAUUAGAUGAGUGGUUUUGGAGUUACUGUUGUGGCUUAGUGGGUUAAGGACCUGACUUGUCUUCAUGAGGAUGUGGGUUCAAUCCCCAGCCUUGCUCAGUGGGUUAAGGAUCCUGCAUUGCAGCAAGCUGCAGCACAGGUCAAAGACAUGGCUCAGAUCCAGUGCUGCUGUGGCUGUGGUGUAGGCCUGCAACUGUAGCUCCGAUCUGACCCCUAGCCUGAGAACUUCCAUAUGCUGAGGGUGCAACCCUAAAAAGGAAAAAAAAAAAAAAAAAGAGUUGCUUUAUUUCAAAGAUUAAAGAAUAAACUUCUCAAACACCAACUCUUUGGCAAAGCAACCUCCAAGAAGGAAAACUGAACUGUCAUCUCUGAACAGCUACUCAGAGUUAAGCCUGUGUCCACAGGCAAACCGUGAACAAGCCUCAUUGCCCAGUGACCUAUCUACUCAAAUGUCUGUGUUUCAAAUCUUCAUCUAAAUUUGUCCACUGCUACCUAAAUCCACAGAUGAAGUAAGCUUUGUUCUUACACCAGAACUACCAAAAUCAAAAACCAAAAUGCCACCGCCAUGGGUCCUCAAGAUCCGUCUUUGUAGGAGAAAACCUACUUGGAGAAAACCACACAAUCCAGCUAUUAAGACAGCAAUGACAGAAAACCUCAGUUUCUGCUGCAAAUAAUAUGAUCAGAAAUACAGCCAAUGCAGCUGCA
RNAcentral lists this long non-coding RNA (1604 nucleotides) under Sus scrofa (pig). Its description in RNAcentral is "lncRNA (ENSSSCG00055003425.1)". The record is from RNAcentral. Lineage: Eukaryota; Metazoa; Chordata; Mammalia; Artiodactyla; Suidae.